This 71-nucleotide transfer RNA is filed under the name Capnocytophaga sputigena. RNAcentral's name for it is "tRNA-Trp(cca)". It matches the Rfam family "tRNA". Rfam says of the family: Transfer RNA (tRNA) molecules are approximately 80 nucleotides in length. Their secondary structure includes four short double-helical elements and three loops (D, anti-codon, and T loops). Further hydrogen bonds mediate the characteristic L-shaped molecular structure. tRNAs have two regions of fundamental functional importance: the anti-codon, which is responsible for specific mRNA codon recognition, and the 3' end, to which the tRNAs corresponding amino acid is attached (by aminoacyl-tRNA synthetases). tRNAs cope with the degeneracy of the genetic code in two manners: having more than one tRNA (with a specific anti-codon) for a particular amino acid; and 'wobble' base-pairing, i.e. permitting non-standard base-pairing at the 3rd anti-codon position. The record is from RNAcentral. RNAcentral also lists the same sequence under 1 other name. Lineage: Bacteria; Pseudomonadati; Bacteroidota; Flavobacteriia; Flavobacteriales; Flavobacteriaceae.
GCAGAUGUAGUUUAGUGAGAGAAUGGUUGUCUCCAAAACAACAGGCAGAGGUUUGAUUCCUUUCAUCUGCG